Non-coding RNA from Microcebus murinus (gray mouse lemur), 2227 nucleotides. The record is from RefSeq and is a predicted model, not a curated record. Lineage: Eukaryota; Metazoa; Chordata; Mammalia; Primates; Cheirogaleidae.
UCCUCCCACCACCCACCGCACUGUCGGGCGGCAGCCCACGAGCUCUGUCCGCAGGACGAUGCCUGCCCGCUGUCCGCCCAGCCGGCCGCUGGUCCUCCCCAGGAAAAACGCAUCCGUUUGCUGAAAUGAAUGAUUUCUGCCUGUAAAACCCAAAUCACCAUUUCACUCAAAGUAGCACUUAUCAUUUUUGUCUCCCUGAUAAUGCUGACAUCCAUAACAGCCUGGGGGCCACUCAACUUCUUGGCGGAGGGGACCAGAGGAGAUGCCAGGGACAGCCGGGGUCGGGGCCUGGGAGCCUGAGGGCUGGGUCCCGGCAGCCCCGGAGCCGCGUGAGGAAAGGCACCGGGAGGUGCCAGAAGGCAGCGCUGUGUCCGCGUCUGCUGCUGACACAGACCGUCUGCCACGCGUCUGAGGGACCACUGCCUCCUGCACACAGCGUGGGCUCUGAACGGCUUCGGGUGUUGAAUGUUAGAAUCUGGUUCCUGUAAACACUGUUUUCUCUCUCCCUCCUUCGGCACAGAUUCGGGGAGCCGGCUGCAGGCCAGGCUCACGAGCGCUGGGACCAGCUGGCGAGGACCAUCCCUGCCCUCCACAGCUCGUGGAGGAGGAGAAGUCGUCACGAGACGCCACGGGAGCCACGGAAGUCGGCCACGGAAGUCGGCCACCGACGCAGAGCCAUGCGAGCUCGUGAACAGGGCAAUUAUUUAGAACACCAUCCAGUGAAUGUCGCUGUGUGGUUAUGGCAGAGGACAGAGGCCAUUUCUGAAGAGGUACAAGCGGACGCCUGGGUCCAGCCGCAGACCGGGCGGAGAGGGGGCGUCAGCCGCGGGGACCGAGCACCGGGAGCCUCGGGUGCCCCCCCAGGAGCCAGCACGGCCCCGACACGGGGCCAUGUCUGAAGGGACGGGAAAAUCAGAACAGUUUUGCCGGCUCCGUUUGCUCUGAAAUAGCCGUGUGGGAGAGGCGGCUGCGCCCCACUCGACACCCUCCCGGGACUGCGGGAGGCAGCGGAGAACCUGCGCUGGGCUCCGUCGCCGCGGGAACAGACAGGAGCCUCCGCCUUCCCCUCUCGCCCGGCCAGGGGUCCCUGGGACCACCCCACACACACGGAUCCUCCUCUGGGCUCUGCUUGUGGGGAGCAGCCCAGACGUCACAGGGUGGCGACAGGCUCCGUGAAACGACCAACAGCGGCUCAGGGACAGCAGAGCCCACGGCCCAGCCUCCUCCCAUGUAAGCACCCGAGGGGCCAACAGGGAAACUGAGGCGCAGCAUACCCCCCCUCAGCUCAGAUUCCGGAACCAAACAGUAGCAUCCCUCGGUGCCCGGGCAUAAGGGAGGGGACUUAGCCGCCUUUGCCUUCUGGGGCCCUGCCGGCCCGAGAACUGUCCUACCUAAAGACGACACAGAAAAAGUAUAGGGGUGUGAGCAGCACCUCCGUGUCACGCCUCGGGACCAGGACAUAGCCCACAAUAGCCCAGUGACACGGGAGAGCCUCGGGACCAGGACACAGCCCAAGAAAGCCCAGUGACAUGGGAGAACCCGGGACUAGGACACAGCCCGAGAAAGCCCAGUGACACAGAGUGCCCUGGGAACGCGGAGGCUGCGUCCCAGCUCCGGCGGGAGGGCAGCUGUCUGUUCUGGGUGAGGGCGGCCAAGGACAAGGGCUCCAGGGCACGGUGGGGUGGAGAGAGCAGGAGGCAGAGAGGAAGUGAGGCGGGAGGACACCCAGACGGGCAGGGGUGGGGGGACGGCUGCACUUGGGUCUGGGUGUCCCUCGGCCCCUCGGCCCCUCGGCCCCUCUGCAGUGCAAGGCCGGGACCCUGCCUCUCCCGCCUCUUUCUCACCGGCCCGCUGGGCUGCUGCGCAGCGAAGACUUGGGGACCCGCCUCGCCUGUGCCGGCAGGAGGAGGUGACAUCCCAGGAGCCCCACUGCGGCCUCCUGCCUCCCGCAUGGCGUGGCCCGACCUCCCAGCACACACGUGUCGGGCUCGGGCCCAGAGCACCUGGCCCCCUGCUCGGCUCUCUCCAGCCAGGGUCGGCGGCGAUUUAAAGUGGGCGUCACCAGUGGCAGCUUCUUUAACACAGUAACUGCCCUGCGAGUUGUGUUUAACUCGCACUCGUUAGUUGAGCCCGGGGCCUCGUGAAGCGUAUGUAACUCAUGUCUCCUCUCCCUGGGAGCCGUGUGAACUACUUUCCAAGUUGCAUAUAACUCACGCACGGAAAACAA